Long non-coding RNA from Cydia pomonella (codling moth), 4375 nucleotides. RefSeq lists it as uncharacterized. The transcript has 4 exons. NCBI's taxonomy places the organism in Eukaryota, Metazoa, Arthropoda, Insecta, Lepidoptera, Tortricidae. The record is from RefSeq and is a predicted model, not a curated record.
UUAGAUAUAGAUAAGUUCUCAAUUAGAUAUCGUUUGUAUGUGGUAUAAUUGACAGAAGCUGCACGAUUCGGAUGACCAAUGUCACUUUGACGUUAGAAUAUCUUUGAAAGAUCUUAGUCAGUGUUGCCAGAUGGGUUUUGCGUUCCGUUACGUGCACCUCUUAAAAAUAGUACGCAAAUUCAAGUUGAGUACGCAGUAUAAAAUUUACGGUGCGUUCCUAAAUAAUAUUAAUCGGAAAACCACCGAAUUUUAUCGCUACUAUAAAAAUGUUGAAAAUAGAACUUCACAUAUUUCGAUAAAAUAUUUCUUGUUUAAGGAGACUCAAUUCAAUGCAAAUUUGCCAACGGUGGCGUUUCGAAAUGUAAUACCGUCGCGGCGUCUGUCAUACUUCGGUCUACUUAAACACGCUGCACGCUGCUGCGACGCGUCAGGGCCUACCGCGAACCACGUUCGACGUGUUGCCUCUCUGUCGCACUUAUAAAUUCGUACGUAAGUAUGACAGGGAGGCAACACGUCGAACGUGGUUCACGGUAGGCCCUCUGUUCUGUGAUUGUUAGGCAAACACAAACAUUUUUUUUUACAACGGACGCCCACGAGUAUUCCUCUGCGUUGAAGUCAUUGUUGAAGUUUGAAAACUCAUAAAGUUUUGUUUUGUGAGUGAAACCGUGAAUAAUACUAAAUAAAAAUGUGUGACAGUGAUCACAGUGAUGAAAAUAUGUUGCCCACUACUCCUCAGGAAAUAUUAAAGCCUUUUCCGUUUAUGUUGUUCCGUUGUUUGCUAUUUUGACAACUUGAAAAGUUUUAUCGGCAGUUUGCGUGUUAUUACUGUGAAGUGUUUGGCCAAACCGCCGCUACCACUUUUGAAAGGAUGCCACCCAAAAAUCCAAAAAUUCGCUCGAACGCAGCACAAAUUAGAUUGCUCGUUGAAUACAUGUCACAGCACACCCGGUUCGCCAACCGGGAAUUUGACGGGCCUCUAAGGACCCCAGAGGUACGAGGCGCAAUGGGAGGCCCUUGCACAGGCCUUAAGGGAGCACGGGCCCAAUAAGUCAGUGCAGGCAUGGAAAGUGGUGGGCACCUGCUCCCCGCUGGCGACACCCUUGCAGAAGCUAGCAUUUUCAGAUAUAUUUACUUUUUAAGUUUUUGGUUUGGUUUAACCGGAAUUAUUUUUACCCGACUAUGAGAAUGGGAAGGGUUAUGAUUUUAGCAGUCUACGUAUGGAUGCCGUAUAUAUGCCGGUAUGUUUUUGUUGUGUAUAAAUUACUAAUCAAUUUUGGUGAAUGAGGUGUUUAUAGGUUCAUUUUUAUGGGGUGACAUAGACUACAUAAUAAUAUUUAACUGACUUUGGACAAGGAAGAGGUGCUAUAGUUAAGAAAAAAAUCAUAGUCGGGUAAAAGUUUUUACAAUCUUUUGCUUGUUUUCAUUCUUAUAACAAAUAUUUUAAACUUGCAUGUGCUCAUUGCCUCAGAUUGACGACUACGUUGAGUUUUCGGGUGCUGGGAACAGUGUGGCUGGCAGCACGUUUUCUGCCACUGCUGAAAAUCUCGUUGUUGUUCCAACAACCGCCACCGUUACUGCGGCCUUGCUCAGCGAACAACCCCACUUCUCCACCUCUCAUUUGUCCUCGUCUCCCUCUCCUUCUGCCAGCCCUAUACGCUCCACGCAUUCAGUACUGCCCACAAGUCCUGGACUACCCGAACGUCCCUCUCUUGCCGCCCUUUCCGCCCGCUAUGCCCGUCCCGCCCUUCUCGCUAGUUCCGCAAUAACCGCCCAACCCGCACGUCUUCUCCUGCCUGCACGUCAAGUACACAGCUCUGUGUACGUGGAUCCGCGCCCUGCACGCGUAUCCACGUACACAGAGCUGUGUACUUGCCCCGCAACCGCACGACGGAACCGGCACCUUCGACAGCACAAUUUAAUCAUCUGCAGCAUGAGCAUGAUAAUAUUUUAAGAGUAAUUAAUUAAUUUAUGAACUAAUAAUUCUGUUUUAAGAUCAGGUUGAGUACGAGAAACAUUGUUUAUUUAACUUGGGACAAGAAAAACAGUAACUUGGCAGUAAGAAUGCAUACAUAAAGCCUGUAAGCUCCAUACUUGACGUACCAUUCCCUACAAGUGUUUCUCUUGCCUCCAUAUUUCGCUUACCCCAUCUGACCUUAUUUGUAUUGAUAAAACAUACAAAUAAUAAAUAUAUAUAUACGCGAGCAAUCGCAAAAUCUACAUUUCGGGAUUUCUCGUAUCGUACAGUGCCGUUUAAAUAAAAUAACACCACCAACUACCCAUAAGAGGGUUAUUAUGAAACUUAUAAUUAACAUGCAUUUUAUUGAAAGGCUGGAAUUUUAUUUAUCUUGAAAUCUUGACCAUGGUCAUAUGUUUGACUGGACGGUACACGGCAAUGUUAUUAUUACUAAUAUAUUUCAUAACACUAGACUUAUUCAAUCCUAAGUAACCUAUUAGCUUCUCAUUCGUGUGCGGUAUAUAUCAGCGUUUGGUAGUAUCAUAAUAGUCAAAUCUGGUGUUGGUUGUUGUUAAUAGUUAAAUGUUCAUAAAAUUUGACAACUUAUUAUAGUUAUAUUUUGUGUGAGUCAGUUAUCAUAACAGAAAUAAGAUAUAAAGCUGUUAAUACCGUAAAUUGUGUAUGGAUAUGUUUGACUCAAAUUCUGUAUUCCCACAAUAAGUAGGUAUACGGGGAGCCCGUAAGAAAUCAGUGGUAUAUGAAGGCUUUCUUGUGCAACUUUAGUAUGAGCUGGAACAAGUAAAUGUAGUUAUGUAGAACAGAUAAUCUCCAUUGUGGUAGAUGGCGCUAUUUAUUAUGUGCUCUGUGAUACCACUUAGUUUAAACUUGCUAUAACAUAUUUUAUGUUGACAGGAUAUCCUGAACGAACUGAAAAUUUUUAAUGAGGCGCAGAAACAAAAAUGGAGUGUUUUGAAGGAGGGGCACGACUUGUUGGCGAAUCGGUUCAUCCUCUGACCUUUCCAAGGAGCAAGAUCUUAUUUUCGUGUAUGAGAGCCUUUGGAAUACAAUAUUAUUAACGCCCGAAUGAGUGCUACCGCGUUUAAUUUCGCCACUAGGGGUGCUAGUGUAGACGGAGGUCAUUCGAAAUGUCAAAUGCAUAGCUUUUUUAUCGUGAAUUUCUACUCCUCAUUCAUAAUUGUGAUAAAUCUUAUUUCAUCUUUGAUUAGUUAGUCACCAAACAAAAGUAACUCAAAUAGCCGGGUCCACACAGAGCGAGCAUACGCGCCAGGCAACUUCCUCACGCACAAAACGGCCAGUGUAGACGUGCCUCGGACGAGGCGGAGCGCGCGUUUUCCUCGCCCUAGUGCGCCGCCUCGGCCGAGGCACGUCUACACUGGCUGGGAUUACCAUCGAAUCGUCUAAUGUCGGUUUUGUUCCUUUGGGUUUGUUGUACCUAGUGACAUGUUUUUUAAACGAUUGCAACGCCAUCUGCGAGUUGCUCGAGAGACUCAACUUACACACAUAUAUGGAUGUGGCUUCAAAAGUAAUCACCGUUAAUAUCUCGUACCUUGAAUAAAGGACCCACUUCUUAAUUAUUAUUAUAAAUUAUAUUUUGGUAUUGUUCCAGUAUUAACACAUUGGAGGACACCGAGAUUAUUGAGAACUUGGAAGACACAGUUAUAAUGGAAGAGGAAGACGUCUGAGCUAAGCGCUGUCCUCGCACCCUCCGUCUAGUUUACGUUUGCGGCCAUAUCAAAAAUACACACCGUAUGUUUAUUAGGGUUCCGUACCAAAAAGGUACAAAAGGAACCCUUAUGGUGCUAUUGCUAAAUAUCUCGAGAAGUACUUAAGCUAUCGAUGUGAAAUUUGGAAUAGUAAUGAAUAACGCUGACCCAAACAUAUUGGAUGUGUAUUUAUUUUAUUUUAUUUGUAAGUAUUAAUAAUGGAAAAUUCCCAAUAUGAAGAGGGGGUAAAAUUGCAAAGUCUAGUUAAAUAGGUCAAGUGGGGUAUCAUUUGAAAGAGCUCAAAUUGAAAAUUACAAAACAAUUUUUUAUUUUCAUUGUGAAAAAAAAAUUUACGUAUGAAGGAAAAUGUGAAAAUAAUACCAUCCCCCCCCCCUCUCUCAUCUCCGAAGUUUAAGAAUAAAAAUUGUUUUUUUUUUACAUUGGUCAAGUCUUUCAUGAGAAAAUUUGAAGUUUGUACGGAACCCUCGGUGUGCGAGGUAAACGAACUCGCACUUGACCGGUUAUUCUUAUUGCCCAUAAGGCCCGUCCUUAGAUAUAUGUCAAUGAUUACGGUGAUCUCGAAAAUGGCUCAAAUGAUUUCAAUUAAAUUUGCUAUAUGGGGGUUUUCGGGGCGUUUUUGAGUUUUUACCUAUUUGUUUUCCGAGCAAAAGGAAUUAAAGUUUACUGAUUUUGAAAA